AGUAUAAUUCCUGGGCCAUAUGGUAAUUACAUAUUUAGUUUUAUUAAAAAUCUCUGAACUGUUUUCCAGAGUGGUUGUACCAUUUUAUAUUCAUACCAGUAGU
RNAcentral lists this microRNA precursor (103 nucleotides) under Marmota monax (woodchuck). Lineage: Eukaryota; Metazoa; Chordata; Mammalia; Rodentia; Sciuridae. The record is from RNAcentral.